AAUUGAAGAACUUCUUCAGGUAAAGAUUAAUCUGUAUUACACAGCUUUGUAUAUCCUAGCAUAUGUAGGGAGUGAAAAACAAGGGUUUUGGAUCCACCAGUGUUUGGCUGUGCAUAUUGGUCUUCAUAGAAACCUUCCUCAGGAUGAUGAUAAUGAUGAUGAUGUGAUAGUGACUGUUUUGAUGAAAAUGUUUCAUCUCCUUCAAUACAUCCUGGUAAGGUAUCUAGUAUAUGUGCAGAAGGGGCA
RNAcentral lists this unclassified non-coding RNA (246 nucleotides) under Hevea brasiliensis (rubber tree). The record is from RNAcentral. Lineage: Eukaryota; Viridiplantae; Streptophyta; Magnoliopsida; Malpighiales; Euphorbiaceae.